RNAcentral lists this ribosomal RNA (1395 nucleotides) under uncultured bacterium. RNAcentral's name for it is "bacterial SSU rRNA". It matches the Rfam family "Bacterial small subunit ribosomal RNA". The record is from RNAcentral.
AGAGUUUGAUCCUGGCUCAGAUUGAACGCUGGCGGCAGGCCUAACACAUGCAAGUCGAGCGGUAGAGAGAAGCUUGCUUCUCUUGAGAGCGGCGGACGGGUGAGUAAUGCCUAGGAAUCUGCCUGGUAGUGGGGGAUAACGUUCGGAAACGGACGCUAAUACCGCAUACGUCCUACGGGAGAAAGCAGGGGACCUUCGGGCCUUGCGCUAUCAGAUGAGCCUAGGUCGGAUUAGCUAGUUGGUGAGGUAAUGGCUCACCAAGGCGACGAUCCGUAACUGGUCUGAGAGGAUGAUCAGUCACACUGGAACUGAGACACGGUCCAGACUCCUACGGGAGGCAGCAGUGGGGAAUAUUGGACAAUGGGCGAAAGCCUGAUCCAGCCAUGCCGCGUGUGUGAGGAAGGUCUUCGGAUUGUAAAGCACUUUAAGUUGGGAGGAAGGGCAGUAAAUUAAUACUUUGCUGUUUUGACGUUACCGACAGAAUAAGCACCGGCUAACUCUGUGCCAGCAGCCGCGGUAAUACAGAGGGUGCAAGCGUUAAUCGGAAUUACUGGGCGUAAAGCGCGCGUAGGUGGUUUGUUAAGUUGGAUGUGAAAUCCCCGGGCUCAACCUGGGAACUGCAUUCAAAACUGACUGACUAGAGUAUGGUAGAGGGUGGUGGAAUUUCCUGUGUAGCGGUGAAAUGCGUAGAUAUAGGAAGGAACACCAGUGGCGAAGGCGACCACCUGGACUAAUACUGACACUGAGGUGCGAAAGCGUGGGGAGCAAACAGGGUUAGAUACCCUGGUAGUCCACGCCGUAAACGAUGUCAACUAGCCGUUGGAAGCCUUGAGCUUUUAGUGGCGCAGCUAACGCAUUAAGUUGACCGCCUGGGGAGUACGGCCGCAAGGUUAAAACUCAAAUGAAUUGACGGGGGCCCGCACAAGCGGUGGAGCAUGUGGUUUAAUUCGAAGCAACGCGAAGAACCUUACCAGGCCUUGACAUCCAAUGAACUUUCUAGAGAUAGAUUGGUGCCUUCGGGAACAUUGAGACAGGUGCUGCAUGGCUGUCGUCAGCUCGUGUCGUGAGAUGUUGGGUUAAGUCCCGUAACGAGCGCAACCCUUGUCCUUAGUUACCAGCACGUAAUGGUGGGCACUCUAAGGAGACUGCCGGUGACAAACCGGAGGAAGGUGGGGAUGACGUCAAGUCAUCAUGGCCCUUACGGCCUGGGCUACACACGUGCUACAAUGGUCGGUAUAGAGGGUUGCCAAGCCGCGAGGUGGAGCUAAUCCCACAAAACCGAUCGUAGUCCGGAUCGCAGUCUGCAACUCGACUGCGUGAAGUCGGAAUCGCUAGUAAUCGCGAAUCAGAAUGUCGCGGUGAAUACGUUCCCGGGCCUUGUACUCACCGCCCGUC